Molecule: unclassified non-coding RNA, 204 nt
Filed under: plant metagenome
Description: partial contains small subunit ribosomal RNA and internal transcribed spacer 1
Rfam family: Eukaryotic small subunit ribosomal RNA (bases 1-46)
Source: RNAcentral
AAGUCGUAACAAGGUUUUCGUAGGUGAACCUGCGGAAGGAUCAUUAGUGAAAUAUUGGAUUCCUCUGCAAAGAGAAGGUCCAUUUCCACUUUCAAACACUGUGAACUUGUCUUUUCUGUCUAUCGCGUUUUGGCGCUUUAGGCAUGAAACACUUGUACUAAAACUUAAUAAGUCUUGAUGUAUCUUUUGAUAAUGAAAUUAAAA